ACGUGUGCAGAAGUCCUUCUUGUUCUAGUCGUUGUUCCCGUCUGAGUACCAGCUCCCCACUGCCCUGAGGGGGAGCCGGCCUGUGGCAGAGGGAAGGAGGAGGAGAAGGCAAUAGUCCCGGAUCCCUGCAGUCUUUCUGUAGGUUGCGGCACUACGCCAGGCGACAGAAGAGGAAGAAAAUUAACCCCGAUCGGUGAAGGUCGAUUUGAGGGUCCGCUGUAGCAGGUGGCACCACUUGAAGCGAGGAGGAAGUUUCCUCGGAUCAGUAGAGAUCACAAGGGUUGUUGGGCGUGGCACACCUCCAGGGGAGGGAAGAAGGGGCAAAUUGCCUGUCUGGAGGAGGUCCACUUCUAGUGUCAGCGACUGUGGCCUUGAAGGGGGGCUGAAGACAAGGCGAUCACCCUCCACAGGCCUGCACGCAGCCAGGCCCGUAGCCGUUCUCCCCCAGCCUGAGUGACUGCUCUGUUCCUUGGUCCCUG
RNAcentral lists this long non-coding RNA (479 nucleotides) under Catagonus wagneri (Chacoan peccary). RNAcentral's name for it is "lncRNA (ENSCWAG00000007441.1)". The record is from RNAcentral. Lineage: Eukaryota; Metazoa; Chordata; Mammalia; Artiodactyla; Tayassuidae.